UACGUAGGGGGCGAGCGUUGUCCGGAUUUAUUGGGCGUAAAGAGCGUGUAGGCGGCCAGACAGGUCCGUUGUGAAAACUCGAGGCUCAACCUCGAGAUGUCGAUGGAAACCGUCCGGCUAGAGUCCGGAAGAGGAGUGUGGAAUUCCUGGUGUAGCGGUGAAAUGCGCAGAUAUCAGGAAGAACACCUAUGGCGAAGGCAGCACUCUGGGACGGUACUGACGCUGAGACGCGAAAGCGUGGGGAGCGAACAGG
This 253-nucleotide ribosomal RNA is filed under the name uncultured bacterium. RNAcentral describes it as "partial 16S ribosomal RNA". It matches the Rfam family "Bacterial small subunit ribosomal RNA", at positions 524 to 776 of the family's 1533-position model. The record is from RNAcentral.